This is a long non-coding RNA of Rhea pennata, 1312 nucleotides long. RefSeq lists it as uncharacterized. Lineage: Eukaryota; Metazoa; Chordata; Aves; Rheiformes; Rheidae. The record is from RefSeq and is a predicted model, not a curated record. The transcript has 4 exons.
CCAGAGCAGGGCACAUACAGUGGUUGACAAGUGCUCGGGACGGUGGCAGUGGUAGCUGUUUCUACAAAGGACAGAGACACACCUCUCAACGCUGAUGGCUGUCAGGAGAUAUAAGCCUGUGUUGUAGGCAAAGAGAGACAACAGGAAAAGUGGCCUCAGGUAGUUCAAGAACUCUAAAGUGGAGCAGGAGACGUUCUCCAUGAUGUAUAACAGGGCUGAGGUGAGCAUGAAGAGGAGGAAGGUGAAGUCUGCAAAGGCCAGGUUGAGGAUGUAGACGGUAAUGGGAUUCCUGCGGAUGCGGAAGCCAAGGAGCCAGAGGACGGCCCCAUUCCCCACCAGCCCGCAUGGGCAGAUGAGCAGCGUGGCACCAUCCAGGGCCACAUCAGAGACAUCUAUCACACAUUUGUAAUCUCCAUCAUCUGCUAGUGUGGGCUGCGCAGGCUGCAGUUGUCCAUAUACCGUGGCAAGUUGGUACCGAGUUCAGCAAAGAUGUUACAAACCCUCCUAUGGAUGAGGACAGAGCAACGGAUCUUCUUGGAGGCAUUCACCCUCCCCUAUCUGGCCUCACCUCAUGAUUACCUGGACAGGAUGAAGCUAUGUCAUCGCAUCUAUUUUCCUGCUGAAGCCUUUUCUCUGUCCUUGAUCAUGCAACCUUGCUCUGUUGACUUCAUUCAGGUGAAUAUAAGAGGACAAGGAAGAUGGAUUGACAUUCCAGCAACAUGUUGCUUGAUUUGACUACAGUGUCCCCAUCUCCUGUGGAGAGCAACCCGGGGGGAUGGACACAACAGGACUGGAGGCUUUGCAGACCACAUCCCUGAAAUUGUCAUUGAUAGCAUUACAUUGCUUAUCUGCCUGUGCAGGCUGUUUGGGAAUGUGGCCAUCAUCUGGAUUCUUGGUUUCUGCAUUAGGAGGAAUCCUUUCACUGCCUACUUCCUGAACCUGGCCAUUGCAGCUGCCUUUUUGCUUCUAUACAUCUGUUUUCCUCAUAAUAUAUCAUAUCCCCAUGCUUAGCUGUUUUCAGCCAGAGCUUUGGCAUGUGCUCCUGCUGCUUCACUUCAUGGUUCUGUUCACAUACAGCACUCCCCAUGCUGUAUCUCCCCAUGUCCAUCAGUGUGGAAAGGUGUCUGGCUGUCCUCUUGCCCUUUUGGUGAAACUGUCACCAACCAAAGCUCUUAUCAGCAAUAAUAUGUGGCCUGCUCUAGGCACUUGGCUGAGUGCUGUCUGGGUUUGUGUACUUUGUGUAUGAUUUGGGUCACUGCAAACACUACUGGAUAGUUCUUGCAACCUUGUGCUUUCUCAGUUUUUGCCUUUU